GCCAGCGGUCGAUAGCACGUGGAAUGUACCAGUUUACAAAAAAUCACUGAAGUUAAGCAAUGUUUCGCUUGGUUGGUCUCCGGAUGGGUGACCGUCUGGACAAUCACAUGCUGUUGGCU
Molecule: ribosomal RNA, 119 nt
Filed under: Diaphorina citri (Asian citrus psyllid)
Lineage: Eukaryota; Metazoa; Arthropoda; Insecta; Hemiptera; Psyllidae
Source: RNAcentral